Molecule: ribosomal RNA, 290 nt
Filed under: uncultured bacterium
Lineage: Bacteria
Description: partial 16S ribosomal RNA
Rfam family: Bacterial small subunit ribosomal RNA
Source: RNAcentral
GUGCCAGCCGCCGCGGUAAUACGGAGGGUGCAAGCGUUGUCCGGAAUUACUGGGCGUAAAGCGCGCGUAGGCGGACAUUUAAGUCAGGGGUGAAAUCCCGGGGCUCAACCCCGGAACUGCCCUUGAUACUGGGUGUCUUGAGUUCGAGAGAGGUGAGUGGAAUUCCGAGUGUAGAGGUGAAAUUCGUAGAUAUUCGGAGGAACACCAGUGGCGAAGGCGGCUCACUGGCUCGAUACUGACGCUGAGGUGCGAAAGGGUGGGGAGCAAACAGGAUUAGAAACCCCGGUAGU